Molecule: transfer RNA, 73 nt
Filed under: Camelus bactrianus (Bactrian camel)
Lineage: Eukaryota; Metazoa; Chordata; Mammalia; Artiodactyla; Camelidae
Also listed under: 1 other name
Rfam family: tRNA
About the family: Transfer RNA (tRNA) molecules are approximately 80 nucleotides in length.
Source: Rfam by way of RNAcentral
GGAGGUAUAGCUCAAGUGGUAGAGUGCAUGCUUAGCAUGCAUGAAGUCCCAGGUUCAAUCCCCAGUACCUUCU